Dioscorea cayenensis subsp. rotundata (Guinea yam) is the source of this 107-nucleotide small nucleolar RNA. The record is from RefSeq and is a predicted model, not a curated record. NCBI's taxonomy places the organism in Eukaryota, Viridiplantae, Streptophyta, Magnoliopsida, Dioscoreales, Dioscoreaceae.
AAUCCGUGUUGUGGGCAUUUGCGAAGGAGCUCCUUGAACCUUUCCCACGUCUCAAAUAGAGACUCUAAUUCCGAAUAUACAAAGGAUGAGAUCUCAUUAAUAAGCUU